UACGUAGGGUGCAAGCGUUAAUCGGAAUUACUGGGCGUAAAGCGUGCGCAGGCGGUUUUGUAAGACUGUCGUGAAAUCCCCGGGCUUAACCUGGGAAUGGCGAUGGUGACUGCAAGGCUAGAGUUUGGCAGAGGGGGGUAGAAUUCCACGUGUAGCAGUGAAAUGCGUAGAUAUGUGGAGGAACACCGAUGGCGAAGGCAGCCCCCUGGGUCAAAACUGACGCUAAUGCACGAAAGCGUGGGGAGCAAACAGG
This 253-nucleotide ribosomal RNA is filed under the name uncultured bacterium. Its description in RNAcentral is "partial 16S ribosomal RNA". It matches the Rfam family "Bacterial small subunit ribosomal RNA", at positions 524 to 776 of the family's 1533-position model. The record is from RNAcentral.